AUAGUUGAUUCAGCAUCUAAACGUGAGUUUACGGCUUCACACAUUGCCAGAUAACUAUCAUUCAAAAUAUCGGGAGGUACAGAAAGAUAAGGAUAGUCAGAACCAUUUUUUAAACCUGGAGGAAGCAAAGGUGCUGAAGCAGUAUGAUUCCAGGAUUUUGCAUAAUACGGGUUGAUGGGAGAAAACGGCGUAAAGGGAUUGUUAGGUACAUCCUUCAUGGAGGGAUAUACAGGAGCAGCAAGGGCCGGCCAAUACGUAGAUUGCUUGGAAGGUAAAAGAGCCAUCGAAGGGGGCCUUGCCCAAGAAAGCUGAAUCCUAACACCAUGCAAAGGGAAAUUGUUCAUUUCGUUAAUUGCCUGCUCAGCAAAAUAUCGUUGAGCAAAGACUAUGCGUCCACUAUUAUUAUUGACUUGAGUGUAUAAAAUCUCACCAAAGUGGAGGAAAUAUGAUCGUAGCUCUUGUGUCGUUAUAUUUUCGGGGAGUUGGUGAACAUAAACUGCUGUAUUGUUUGGAUCAGUAAAUUGAUUUAGUGGUUGAGGUGUACCAUAAAACCCAGGCGAACUUAAGUAAGUAUUUUUAUCGGAUUUGACGGAAUGAACUAAUAUAGAUCUUUUUAAACAAAAGGCACCCUGCAUCUCUACCUGCGCGUUUUGUAUAUCACUUUCAUUAGCUAACCAUAUGAAAGCAAUGCUAGUUGAAGUCCCGUCAACACAACGUAGAACACGAGCAGAAAUAAAGUUAUAACGUUGAAACAAGUAUUUUAUAUCAUUUUCAGACACUUCUGGAUCAAUGUUACUAAUGAAAAGCAUAUAGUAACUAGGUUUUUGCCAUUCAGGAACCACAUCUAAAGAGAUCGGGUUCCCAGAUAUUAAUCGUUGAGUAGAUUGCCUUUCUAAAGCAUUCCUAGCAGCAUCUUGACUCUCAAAUUCAAUGCAGCAAGUUUUUAAAAUAGCUCCCGACUCGCCAUCUUCAUAAUAGUUUACUUUUCUAACAUUUUCAAAAAUUGCUCGAAUAUAGUCCUCAUUCAUCCAUUCUUCUAAGUUAUUUAACCUGUUU
Molecule: non-coding RNA, 1056 nt
Organism: Schizosaccharomyces pombe (fission yeast)
Lineage: Eukaryota; Fungi; Ascomycota; Schizosaccharomycetes; Schizosaccharomycetales; Schizosaccharomycetaceae
Source: the annotation of a GenBank genome assembly